AUGGCCGCCCCUCACCGUGCUUUCCCCGAUCCGCCGCCGAUGGCCGCCUUCCGCUCCGGCCGACACGCUGCCCACCUCCGCCUGGCCGUACCACCGCGGCUGGCCGCCCACCCCUCCUUCCGCUUCCCCACCACGCCGCUCCCCACCCCAUCCAAGACGCGCCUCCCCGCCGCCGGCGCCGUUUCUCCCUACGCCGCCGCGCUCCUGCGCAUCCUCGCGCUCCACUCCCUCUUCCUUCUCGCGCCCGCCGCCCGAGCGCUCCCCUCCCUGCCCCACCUCUUCCUGCUUCCGCCGCUCCUCGCCAUCAUCUCCGCCGUCGCCAUCCUCCUCAUCCCCUCCAAGAGCCAGCCCCACCCCUUCCCGGCGCUCCGCCACCUCUUCCGUCCCGCCCUCCUCCUAGCGGCGUCCCUUCUCCUCCGGCUCGCCUCCCUCCACCUCAUCACCGACACCGGUCUCAUCGUCCUCGCAGAUUCCGCCGGUGCACUGCUCGCCCGCGCCCUCAACCGUCCCUCCCGCCGCCGCGUGAUCUCCGUCGCUGCCGCCUCCGUUUCGCUCGCAGCCGCAUCGCCUUCCCACCCCGUGCUUCUUCUCGCGCUCCCCUUUGCUUCCGGCCUCCUCUCCUCGGUCGAGCACUCUGUAUCUGCGCGACAUGUCACCCGCAGCCGCCACGCCCGUGCGGCCGUUUUUGCCCUCGCCGCCACCUUCCUCUCGGCGCCGGCACUCGCGGGCCUCUUCUUUCUUGGUGGCACUGACACCAGCGAUGGUGUCCCGAUUGGCCAGCUCUGGUGGCUGCUCCUUAAUGCCGCUGUCUUUGGCAUGGCCUUGGGGCGACGGCAAGCCUACGACAGCAGUAGCAGUAGCAGCAGACCAAGCAUGAAUUUUGCGAUGACCUUUGUGUGCACUAUUGUUCUGGAGCUGGUGUACUACCCAAAGCUGUCGUUGCCGGGCUUCUUAGUUUGUGGGUUCAUCUUGUGGAUCGCCAGCAGGGAGCUGACUCCUUCAGGAUAUGUUGAGCUUGGGAGCGCUGACGAGUCGGUGUAUGAGGCAGUCAUGGGGCCAGUCCGGCAUAUCCUUAGUGAACGCAAGUCCAGGAAGAUUGCUGCUUUUCUGUUGAUCAACACAGCUUACAUGUUUGUUGAGUUUGCCAGCGGUUUCAUGAGUGAUAGCCUUGGGCUGCUCUCUGACGCUUGCCAUAUGUUGUUUGAUUGUGCUGCUCUGGCAAUUGGACUAUAUGCGUCGUACAUUGCGAGGCUGCCUGCAAAUGGAUUGUAUAACUAUGGAAGGGGCAGGUUCGAGGUGCUAUCUGGGUAUGUUAAUGCAGUGUUCUUGGUGCUUGUUGGCGCCCUGAUUGUGUUGGAGUCGUUUGAGAGGAUACUCGAGCCUCGGGAGAUAUCAACAAGUAGCCUUUUGGCAGUUUCUGUUGGUGGACUUUUCGUAAAUAUCAUUGGAUUGGUUUUCUUUCAUGAGGAGCACCAUCAUGCGCAUGGCGGUAGCUGCUCUCACUCCCAUUCACAUUCUCAUUCCCGUUCACAUGAUCAUGGUCAUGAAGAUCACCAUCAUGACCAUGUUCAUCAGAGUGCUGAUCACGAGAAGACAUGUUCUGGUCAUCAUGGAGACACAAAUAAGAGCCAUCAUCAUAAUCACCGACAUGAUAGUAACAAUGCAGAGAAUCAUCAUCAACAUAACCAUAGCUGUAGCCACAAGCAUGGUCACAAUGGCCAUAUGGAACAUCACCGGCAGGGUGUAGAUCAGGCUCAUCAAGAUUGUAGCAGCAUCAACGGUGAGCAAGGACUUCUAGAGAUUCCACUGAUAAAUGUGCACUCUCAUGGUGCAGAAUCUCAGUCUUGUAAUGGAGAACUGGAAUUGCGAGAAACCGGAAACCAUGCCAAGCCGGCAAGCCGGCGUCACAUUGACCAUAACAUGGAAGGUAUCUUCUUACAUGUCCUAGCUGACACAAUGGGAAGCGCCGGUGUUGUGAUCUCAACCCUACUAAUCAAGUACAAGGGAUGGCUAAUAGCAGAUCCCAUUUGCUCUGUAUUCAUUUCAAUAAUGAUUGUGGCUUCUGUCCUUCCAUUGUUGAGAAAUUCUGCUGAAAUUUUGUUGCAAAGAGUUCCAAGGAGCCAUGAGAAGGACUUCGAAGCAGCACUGGAUGAUGUUAAGAAGAUUAAUGGUGUGAUUGGAGUCCAUAAUGUUCAUUUAUGGAACUUGACAAACACUGAUAUUGUAGGCACUUUUCAUCUUCAUAUAUCAGCUGAAGCUGACAAGUCUGUUAUAAGAGAAAGUGCUUCACGGAUAUUUCAAGAAGCUGGGGUUCAAGAUCUGACUAUCCAGAUCGAAUGUGUCGAAAGAUAG
This 2352-nucleotide ribosomal RNA is filed under the name Triticum aestivum (bread wheat). RNAcentral describes it as "partial small subunit ribosomal RNA". The record is from RNAcentral. Lineage: Eukaryota; Viridiplantae; Streptophyta; Magnoliopsida; Poales; Poaceae.